This 82-nucleotide transfer RNA is filed under the name [Candidatus Thermochlorobacteriaceae] bacterium GBChlB. RNAcentral describes it as "Candidatus Thermochlorobacteriaceae bacterium GBChlB tRNA-Leu". It matches the Rfam family "tRNA". From Rfam's summary of the family: Transfer RNA (tRNA) molecules are approximately 80 nucleotides in length. Their secondary structure includes four short double-helical elements and three loops (D, anti-codon, and T loops). The record is from RNAcentral. Lineage: Bacteria; Pseudomonadati; Chlorobiota; Chlorobiia; Chlorobiales; Chloroherpetonaceae. RNAcentral also lists the same sequence under 1 other name.
GCCCAGGUGGCGGAAUUGGUAGACGCACUACUUUGAGGUGGUAGCGCCGCGAGGUGUAGGAGUUCGAGUCUCCUCCUGGGCA